Oreochromis niloticus (Nile tilapia) is the source of this 307-nucleotide long non-coding RNA. RefSeq lists it as uncharacterized. Lineage: Eukaryota; Metazoa; Chordata; Actinopteri; Cichliformes; Cichlidae. The transcript is spliced from 5 exons. The record is from RefSeq and is a predicted model, not a curated record.
UGUACCGCACCCUGGCCAACAACAGCUUCUCAACUAUGUUCUGGACAUCAGCAGACCCAAAGAUGAGCUGAUUGUUGAAACGUCUUCUGGAUGCCUCACGCGGCAGAUUUUUGGACACUGGGUUUAAACAAACAAAUGGAAUCGACUAUUGGAAAUGGCUGUUUUGAGCUUAUCACUAAAAUUGUUCAGUCAAAGGGGAUAAGCAUUUACAUAGAAGAUCUGUAUGUGACCCGGACUUGGCUUGCACCCUAUGGCUGUGAUCCAUUGCAGUCCUUUCCUACUGAUGCUCAGAGGAUGGACAUCAUAG